GUAUCAAGAUAUGGCCUCGGAUAUAAUACGGGUCGUAAGAAAAUAGUCCAUCAUGGCCGACCAAGAAGAUGUUCAAACAACCAAGAGAUAUGUUAGUCCAAAGACAGGAUGAGGAGCGAACUUUUACCACUUAUUUGUGUAGAAGAGUAUGGUACCAGGGGUGCAGCUGACUCUUGAUUCCCAGCUUGUUCUAAUGAAAAAAAGGCAGAUGAGGCAUUGGAAUCCGAAUGUACUCAAAAAUGCCAUUGUAUGAGGAUUGACCUGCAAUGCAUGGAAAUCAUCUAACACAACUGCAACGCCUACCAUGGAAAAAUGAGUGCAAGAUGGAAACAAAGCGUUCAGUGGAACAUCUUGUCAUCUCAAACAUUUGAUGACUUACAUACUGAUGUGAAGUUGAAGAUAAAAGCCAUCUGUUGGUCCGUGAUUAUUAAAUAAAUCCGAACAUAUAUUUUAAAAGGGUAAUAUGGUAAAGGAUUUAUCUACGCUUAAACUGUUUUCCUAUAUUAUGGAGGGAAGAUAACUACAAAAACAGAAACAGAUGGCAUCGGCAGACCAAAUA
Mya arenaria is the source of this 559-nucleotide long non-coding RNA. RefSeq lists it as uncharacterized. The transcript has 3 exons. NCBI's taxonomy places the organism in Eukaryota, Metazoa, Mollusca, Bivalvia, Myida, Myidae. The record is from RefSeq and is a predicted model, not a curated record.